AUGCAAGUCGAGCGGCAGCACGGGGAGCUUGCUCCCUGGUGGCGAGCGGCGGACGGGUGAGUAAUGCAUAGGAAUCUGCCCGGUAGUGGGGGAUAACCUGGGGAAACCCAGGCUAAUACCGCAUACGUCCUACGGGAGAAAGCAGGGGACCUUCGGGCCUUGCGCUAUCGGAUGAGCCUAUGUCGGAUUAGCUGGUUGGUGAGGUAAUGGCUCACCAAGGCGACGAUCCGUAGCUGGUCUGAGAGGAUGAUCAGCCACAUCGGGACUGAGACACGGCCCGAACUCCUACGGGAGGCAGCAGUGGGGAAUAUUGGACAAUGGGCGCAAGCCUGAUCCAGCCAUGCCGCGUGUGUGAAGAAGGCCCUCGGGUUGUAAAGCACUUUCAGUGGGGAAGAAAGCCUUCCGGUUAAUACCCGGGAGGAGGGACAUCACCCACAGAAGAAGCACCGGCUAACUCCGUGCCAGCAGCCGCGGUAAUACGGAGGGUGCGAGCGUUAAUCGGAAUUACUGGGCGUAAAGCGCGCGUAGGCGGCUUGAUAAGCCGGUUGUGAAAGCCCCGGGCUCAACCUGGGAACGGCAUCCGGAACUGUCAGGCUAGAGUGCAGGAGAGGAAGGUAGAAUUCCCGGUGUAGCGGUGAAAUGCGUAGAGAUCGGGAGGAAUACCAGUGGCGAAGGCGGCCUUCUGGACUGACACUGACGCUGAGGUGCGAAAGCGUGGGUAGCAAACAGGAUUAGAUACCCUGGUAGUCCACGCCGUAAACGAUGUCGACUAGCCGUUGGGUCCUUCGCGGACUUUGUGGCGCAGUUAACGCGAUAAGUCGACCGCCUGGGGAGUACGGCCGCAAGGUUAAAACUCAAAUGAAUUGACGGGGGCCCGCACAAGCGGUGGAGCAUGUGGUUUAAUUCGAUGCAACGCGAAGAACCUUACCUACCCUUGACAUCCUGCGAACCCUUCGGAGACGAAGGGGUGCCUUCGGGAACGCAAAGACAGGUGCUGCAUGGCUGUCGUCAGCUCGUGUUGUG
This 1023-nucleotide ribosomal RNA is filed under the name Halomonas sp. RNAcentral describes it as "bacterial SSU rRNA". It matches the Rfam family "Bacterial small subunit ribosomal RNA", at positions 55 to 1069 of the family's 1533-position model. The record is from RNAcentral. Lineage: Bacteria; Pseudomonadati; Pseudomonadota; Gammaproteobacteria; Oceanospirillales; Halomonadaceae.